GACGAACGCUGGCGGCGUGCUUAACACAUGCAAGUCGAACGGAAAGGCCCUGCUUUUGUGGGGUGCUCGAGUGGCGAACGGGUGAGUAACACGUGAGUAACCUGCCCUUGACUUUGGGAUAACUUCAGGAAACUGGGGCUAAUACCGGCUAGGAGCUCCUGCUGCAUGGGGGGGGUUGGAAAGUUUCGGCGGUUGGGGAUGGACUCGCGGCUUAUCAGCUUGUUGGUGGGGUAGUGGCUUACCAAGGCUUUGACGGGUAGCCGGCCUGAGAGGGGGACCGGGCACAUUGGGCCUGAGGUACGGCCCAGACUCGUACGGGGGGCAGCAGGGGGGAAUAUUGCACAGUGGGCGGAAGCCUGAUGCAGCAACGCCGCGUGCGGGAUGACGGCCUUCGGGUUGUAAACCGCUUUCGCCUGUGACGAAGCGUGAGUGACGGUAAUGGGUAAAGAAGCACCGGCUAACUACGUG
This 468-nucleotide ribosomal RNA is filed under the name uncultured bacterium. RNAcentral describes it as "partial 16S ribosomal RNA". It matches the Rfam family "Bacterial small subunit ribosomal RNA", at positions 28 to 507 of the family's 1533-position model. The record is from RNAcentral.